Molecule: ribosomal RNA, 372 nt
Filed under: uncultured organism
Description: partial 16S ribosomal RNA
Rfam family: Bacterial small subunit ribosomal RNA
Source: RNAcentral
GUAGGUGGCAAGCGUUGUCCGGAAUUAUUGGGCGUAAAGCGCGCGCAGGCGGUUCUUUAAGUCUGAUGUGAAAGCCCACGGCUCAACCGUGGAGGGUCAUUGGAAACUGGAGAACUUGAGUACAGAAGAGGAAAGCGGAAUUCCACGUGUAGCGGUGAAAUGCGUAGAGAUGUGGAGGAACACCAGUGGCGAAGGCGGCUUUCUGGUCUGUAACUGACGCUGAGGCGCGAAGGCGUGGGGAGCAAACAGGGAUUAGAUACCCUGGUAGUCCACGCCGUAAACGAUGAGUGCUAAGUGUUAGGGGGUUUCCGCCCCCUUAGUGCUGCAGCUAACGCAUUAAGCACUCCGCCUGGGGAUACGGCCGCAAGGCUG